RNAcentral lists this unclassified non-coding RNA (332 nucleotides) under soil metagenome. RNAcentral describes it as "partial contains 5.8S ribosomal RNA, internal transcribed spacer 2, and large subunit ribosomal RNA". The stretch from base 1 to 120 matches the Rfam family "5.8S ribosomal RNA", at positions 35 to 154 of the family's 154-position model. The record is from RNAcentral.
GAUGAAGAACGUAGCGAAAUGCGAUAAGUAGUGUGAAUUGCAGAAUUCAGUGAAUCAUCUAAUCUUUGAACGCACAUUGCGCCCUUUGGUAUUCCUUAGGGCAUGCCUGUUCGAGCGUCAUUUAAACCUUCAAGCUCAGCUUGGUGUUGGGUGACUGUCCGCUUCACCGCGGACUCGCCUCAAAAUUAUUGGCGGCCGGUACAUUGGCUUCGAGCGCAGCAGAAACGCGAACUCGGGCCCGUCGUAUUGGCUCCCAGAAGCUAUCUUCACAAUUUUGACCUCGGAUCAGGUAGGGAUACCCGCUGAACUUAAGCAUAUCAAUAAGCGGAGGA